CAGUCGCCGCGGGAAUACGUAGGGUGCAAGCGUUAAUCGGAAUUACUGGGCGUAAAGCGUGCGCAGGCGGUUUGUUAAGACAGAUGUGAAAUCCCCGGGCUCAACCUGGGAACUGCAUUUGUGACUGGCAAGCUAGAGUCUGGCAGAGGGGGGUGGAAUUCCGCGUGUAGCAGUGAAAUGCGUAGAUAUGCGGAGGAACACCGAUGGCGAAGGCAGCCCCCUGGGCCAACACUGACGCUCAUGCACGAAAGCGUGGGGAGCAACAGGAUUAGAUACCCCUGUAGUCCCUGUCUCUUAUACC
This 301-nucleotide ribosomal RNA is filed under the name uncultured bacterium. Its description in RNAcentral is "partial 16S ribosomal RNA". It matches the Rfam family "Bacterial small subunit ribosomal RNA", at positions 509 to 808 of the family's 1533-position model. The record is from RNAcentral.